RNAcentral lists this ribosomal RNA (135 nucleotides) under Fusarium culmorum. RNAcentral describes it as "5.8S ribosomal RNA". It matches the Rfam family "5.8S ribosomal RNA", at positions 1 to 135 of the family's 154-position model. From Rfam's summary of the family: 5.8S ribosomal RNA (5.8S rRNA) is a component of the large subunit of the eukaryotic ribosome. It is transcribed by RNA polymerase I as part of the 45S precursor that also contains 18S and 28S rRNA. Lineage: Eukaryota; Fungi; Ascomycota; Sordariomycetes; Hypocreales; Nectriaceae. The record is from RNAcentral.
AACUUUCAACAACGGAUCUCUUGGUUCUGGCAUCGAUGAAGAACGCAGCAAAAUGCGAUAAGUAAUGUGAAUUGCAGAAUUCAGUGAAUCAUCGAAUCUUUGAACGCACAUUGCGCCCGCCAGUAUUCUGGCGGG